GUUUGAAGCAAAAUAUCAUGUGCUUAAACAGCUUGACUCUUGCUGAAAUAGAAUAAUCACAGUGCUUGUGACAAAAUCUUAUCUUAUUUAAUCAUUUUUUCUCAUUACUGAUAAUAAAGAAAGGGUCAUAAACAAUCUCAAUAUAUCUGCCAGCAAAAGACCCUGAAGAACAUGAAAUUUCUCGCUUUGCAUUGGAAGCUCCACAGACUUCAAAGUCCACUAUUCUUCUCACACCAAAAGCUCCAGAUAAGGCACAUCAGAAGUUUUCUACCUAUAACUCCAUUACUAUGCUUGAGGAAUUACCCUCUCCAAUUGGCCAAUUAAGCUUUGAAUAGUACAAGUUUAGCUCCCCUAAAAAGAAUAGAGGUGAGGUUCAUUUGGAUGGAGUUUUGGUGUCUAGUAGAUGCAGUCAAUUCAAGUAUUCAAGUUCUAUGAUUCAUACAAAAGAAAGGAACUUUAGAUGAGGAUCUAACCCAUAGAAUCAGCACAUAAUGGAUGAAAUGGAGGAAUGUGACGAGUAUGUUACUUAACCAUAAAGUGAAAGGGCAAGUUCUAUAGAAUUGUUGUCAAACUAACUAGAUAUAUUGUAUGAGAGUAAAUAUUGGGCAUCUAGGAUACAACAUAUGCAGAUGUUAAGGUGGGCGUAUUUAAAUACGAUAACAGAUAAGAUUAGGAAUGACAUCCACCAGAAAAUGAAUGUAGCACAGAUAAAAUGAGAUAGGGCCAAUUGAGACAUAGGGCCAAUUAAGACAGUUUGUUCAUGUCCAACAUACAACAUCAAAUGCCUUUGUACAGAAGUGUGAUGAGUUAGUAGGAGUUAAAGGGGAAAGGAAGAGACCUAAGAUGAUGUGGAAAGAAG
RNAcentral lists this unclassified non-coding RNA (859 nucleotides) under Hevea brasiliensis (rubber tree). Lineage: Eukaryota; Viridiplantae; Streptophyta; Magnoliopsida; Malpighiales; Euphorbiaceae. The record is from RNAcentral.